RNAcentral lists this long non-coding RNA (3997 nucleotides) under Sus scrofa (pig). RNAcentral's name for it is "lncRNA (ENSSSCG00040041005.1)". Lineage: Eukaryota; Metazoa; Chordata; Mammalia; Artiodactyla; Suidae. The record is from RNAcentral.
CAUUUCUUGGUCUGCUCCCUCGGCAUAUGGAGGUUCCCUGGCAAGGGGUCGAAUCAGAGCUGUAGCCACCGGCCUACGCCAGAGCCACAGCAACACCAGAUCCGAGCCACGUCUGCACCCUACACCACAGCUCACGGCAACACCUUAACCCACUGAGCGAGGCCAGGGAUCAAACCCGCAACCUCAUGGUUCCUAGUCGGAUUUGUUGACCACUGAGCCACGACGGGAACUCCUAAUAUUAUUAAUGAAUUGAAUUUUACUCCUCAUGAUUUUUUUAAACCAAAACAAAUAACACAGAAAGAUUACUCAAAAGAAAAAAAUACUCUAUCAAGGAUCACAGAAAACAUCAGAGGCCUUGGGAGGAAAUACCACUUAAGCUCGUGUUUUUAACUGUUGGGGGCUCACAGACACCUGAAAAGUUGAUGAAAUCCACAGAAACCUCUCCUCAGGACAAAGCGCGUAAGCCACCAAGAAAACCCACUAAAUUGUGCGGAACAAAAAAAAACAUGUUUUGGGUCUUACAACCCACUUAUUAAGGCCAGAUUUAACAAUUGAAUUAGAUCACCAAAAGCUUUCAAAUGACUUUCCUAGUUGCCAAUUCAUUCACAGGGUAUAAAAACAACCCCAGUCUCCUUAAGCCAGGAUAAUGACAUAAUACAACAUUUUUAGAAAGAGAACUCAACAAUUCCUGCUCUAAUCGGAACCCCGGUGGGGGGCUCAGAUAAGCACAAUGGAACUGCCUACUCGGAAGGCGCCCAGCCUUAGCACCUGAUCGGGAGCAAAGUGCCAGGAAGCUGCUGAGGCACCAGGCAUUCUCUGAUGGCAGCAAGAAACAAGUGCAGAGAUAAGGGCUUGUGCAGCAGCCAGACUUCUUGAACCCCAGAAAGUCCCUGGAAGGUGGACUUUCACAAACCUGCAAUCCUAAGAUGUAUGCACACUUCCAUAGGCAUAGUUCCAAAAAUUUAACCAAAAAAAUAAAAAAUAUGUGAGAAAUCAAUGAGACAAAUUUCGAUUGGAAGUCAUUGCACAAGAUAAGUAUCCUGGACUCUUCGAAAAAGGAAAAAGCCCAUGUCAUGAAACAUGCCCACUCCAAAGGCAGAGGCUUUUCUAAAUUCAAAAAGACAAAGGAGGGAGUUCCCGUCGUGGCACGGUGGUUAACGAAUCCAACUAGGAACCAUGAGGUGGCGGGUUCGAUCCCUGGCCUUGCUCAUGGGUUAAGGAUCCAGUGUUGCCGUGAGCUGUGGUGUAGGUCACAGACAAAGGCUGGGAUCUGGCAUUGCUGUGGCUGUGGCAUGGGCCGAUGGCUGAGGUUCCAAUUUGACUCCUAGCCUGAGAACUUCCAAGUGCCAUGGGUGUGGCCCUGAAAGAAAGAAAGAAAACAAAAAACCAAAACAAUAAAUGCUGGAGAGGGUGUGGAGAAAAGGGAACCCUCCUACACUAUGGAUGGGAAUGCAAAUUGGUACAAUCACUACAAAGAACAGUAUGGAGGUUCCUUAAAAAACAAAAAAUAGAACUAUCACAUGAUCCAGCAAUCCCACUCCUGGGCAUCUAUCCAGAGAAAACCAUAGUUUGAAAAGAUACAUGCAUCCCGGGUUCAAAGCCAACAUUACAUACAGUAGCCGAGACAUGGAAACAACCUAAAUGUCCACCAACAGAGGAUUGGAGAAAGAAGAUGUGGUACAUAUACACAAUGGAAUAUUACUCAGCCACCAAAGAGAAUGAAAUAACGCCAUAUGUAGCAACAUGGAUGGACCUAGAGAUUAGCAUACUAAGUAAGUCAGAAAGAGAAAGACAAAUAUCGCAUGAUAUCACUUAUAUGUGGCAUCUAAUAAAAAUGACACAAAUGAACUUAUUUACAAAGAAGAAACAGAGAUCUCAAAAUCAAAUGUAAGGUUACCAAAGAGGAAAUGUGGGGAGAAGGGAUAAAUUAAAAGUUUGGGAUUAACAUAUACACACUACUAUAUAUAAAACAGAUAACGAACAAGGACCUGCUGUAUAGCCCAGAGGAACCAACUCACCAUUCUGUAAUUACCUCUAUGGGAAAGAAUCUGGGAAAAUACCUAUGGCUGAUUCACUCUGCUGUGCACAUGAAACUAACACAGCACUGUAUGUCACCAUACCCACCUCCCCCCAGAAUUUAAUUUUUAAAAAAAAGAGGAAAAAAAAAUAGAGACGAUUAUAUCCACCCUCCCCUCACAAUGUGAAGAUUGUUCUGGUUAGAGGUAGAAUGAUAAACUAGCCCAAGGGGCUAAGGGGCUGUCUUUUCAGCUCUCUGACCCACUGUCGUCCAUGAAAACUCUGAAGGCACCAGCGCCUGUCUAAAAAUUUUCUGCAAGUUUUCCUUGCCUGGAGCUGAAAGGACUUAAGGUUUUUAAAACAAGGAGUGAUGCUGUGAACCAGAUCCAAAAAACGGCAACACGGCUGUGGCAGCCAAAAUGCUGACUUGGGGGGUUGGUUCACUCUGUGGCACAGCCGGUUAAGGAUCCAAAGGCAGCAGCUGGAGGUCACUGUGGAGGCUCAGGUUCAAUCCAUAUGCCCCAGGUGUGAUCAAAAAAAAAAAAAAAAAAAUGGUGGAGUUCCCAUCAUGACUCAGUGGUAACGAAUACAACUAGUAGUAUCUAUGAGGAUGCAGGUUCGAACCCUGGCCUUGCUCAGUGGGUUAAGGAUCCUACAUUGCUGUGGCUGUGGUGUAGGUCAGCAGCUGCAGCUCUGAUUUGACCCCUAGCUCAGGAACCUCCAUAAGGCAUGGGUGCAACCCUAAAAAAACAAAAAAAAAAAAAGAUGCUGACUUGGAAGAGAAUCAUCAAUUAGGAGAUGUGUUUAUUUUUCUCCAAGCAGUGCAUAUGGAUCCUUUCACCAAUUUCAUCUUGGUUUCAUGAAUUGUCUGAGAAACUAAAUUCUGUCCCUAUUAGCACCGUCCAUUCGGUACAGUGCCCCUCCCUGCAUGCUCCUGUGCAGCUAUUAUCCUUAUACCCACUGACAGCAAAUUUACAAUAAAUGACAUCAAAAAAUAAAGAAACCAGUUGUGUAAUUAAAAAUUUUAAAAAAAUAAAGGAUAUCUUUUGUAGGGUACAGUAAGGGAGGCGUGGCACCACACGAGCACAGACUCAGUAAGCUAAAUGGAUGUAAUUCCAUAAAACUCUUCCGAGGCAGUUAGCAAAAGAAAUUUGACUUGAUGCAUUCCAUGACUAGAUUCAUUCUUCUAGAAUUCCAAAGAAGGAAAGGAAACAAAUAUUUCCUUUAGAAGCUUUGUGUCUGCCAAUUAAUUAAGCCAAAUUAAGGUGUGAGCUGUAGAGUCAAGCCUUCAGCAGAGAGGGAAGUGUCCCAAGGUUAUUCAAAUAAAGUUGCCUGGGGCUACAAGCUGGAAACGGAAAGAGAAGGGAGGAUCCCCUGAAUAACCUGAGCAGGAAAGGGACACAGAAACAGCUACAUUCUCAAGGAGAGCAAGGAUGUGUGCUUAGCCUUCUCUGCCCUGCAAGUUCCAACUACAAAGAUGACCUGAAAUCCUGCUAAUUUUAAUAAAAAAAUAAAUAAAUAAAAGCUAUGCAAUGUUCAAAAAUAUCCUGCAGACUUACAAUGACCUAAGCUGCAAAGAGAAAAGCAGAAAAAUUCCCCCAAGACUUGAAAACAAAAUCCAACAACAGAAGGAAAGGGGUGAGGUAGAGGAAACGGUCCAGCAGCAGAAAGGGUGAGGCUGGGGGGGAGUAAUCCAUUUGCCUGGGAAGUUCUUUGCUGCUGCUUUCUCUGGUUUCUGUCUCAGAUGCCUUGUUCUUGGUUUCAGACGAACAUCCUCAACUGAAAGUCAAGAACCCUGGACCUACCUCUGCCUAAAGCAUCUGUAUUUUUCCCCCCAUUUUUCUUUCUUUUUCUAUUUUUUCUUUUCCUUUUCUUUUUGGUGUAUUUAAGGGUUUGUUUUUCUGUGUCACUGAAAACAACAGAUGUGUUGAGAUGUUCGUACAUCUCAAAAUGUAUUGCAAACCCCCCCCCCCCAAUCUCU